CCUACGGGAGGCAGCAGUAAGGAAUCUUGCGCAAUGGGCGCAAGCCUGACGACGCAACGCCGCGUGGAGGACGAAGACCUUCGGGUCGUAAACUCCUGUCGAGUGGGACGAAUGACCUGGCCGUGAAUAGCGGCUGGGAAUGACGGUACCGCGAGAGGAAGCCCCGGCUAACUCCGUGCCAGCAGCCGCGGUAAUACGGGGGGGGCAAGCGUUGUUCGGAAUUACUGGGCGUAAAGGGCUCGUAGGCGGCUCUCUAAGUCGGUCGGGAAAUCCCCCGGCUCAACCGGGGAAUGGCGUCCGAGACUGGGGAGCUUGAAUCCGGGAGAGGGACGUGAAAUUCCAGGUGUAGCGGUGAAAUGCGUAGAUAUCUGGAGGAACACCGGUGGCGAAGGCGGCGUCCUGGACCGGUAUUGACGCCGAGGAGCGAAAGCCAGGGGAGCAAACGGGAUUAGAUACCCCUGUAGU
This 465-nucleotide ribosomal RNA is filed under the name uncultured Acidobacteriota bacterium. Its description in RNAcentral is "uncultured Acidobacteria bacterium partial 16S ribosomal RNA". It matches the Rfam family "Bacterial small subunit ribosomal RNA", at positions 338 to 794 of the family's 1533-position model. The record is from RNAcentral. Lineage: Bacteria; Pseudomonadati; Acidobacteriota.